AAAGUGCGAUAAGCACUGUGAAUUGCAGAAUUCAGCGAAUCAGUAGAUCUCUCAACGCAACUGGUGUCAGGUAGACUUGUCUACUUGACAGAUAUGCUUCAGUAUUGCACUAAUGCACCAAACAUGCAAUUUUGUCGUGCUGCUUGCAGCAUGACGUGAGAUUCGCUACAUAGCAAUGGCGAAUGGGUAUAGCUCGGCGCUUUUAACUUGUUACGAUCGUCAGAGCAUCAUCACAACAAUCUGAAGUAAGUCAGAAUACCCGCUGAACUUAA
Molecule: unclassified non-coding RNA, 272 nt
Filed under: uncultured fungus
Lineage: Eukaryota; Fungi
Description: sequence contains ITS1
Rfam family: 5.8S ribosomal RNA (bases 1-107)
Source: RNAcentral